This 301-nucleotide ribosomal RNA is filed under the name uncultured Syntrophomonas sp. RNAcentral describes it as "bacterial SSU rRNA". The stretch from base 61 to 301 matches the Rfam family "Bacterial small subunit ribosomal RNA", at positions 552 to 794 of the family's 1533-position model. The record is from RNAcentral. Lineage: Bacteria; Bacillati; Bacillota; Clostridia; Eubacteriales; Syntrophomonadaceae.
AAGGCGUAGCAAGGGUCCAGCGGCGGGGGGAAUGGGUAGGGCCCGGGGGUUGUCGGUGUGUAGUGGGCGUAAGGCGAGCGCAGGCGGUUGGAUAAGACUGAAGUUAAAGGCUAUGGCUUAACCAGAUUACGCUUUGGAAACUGGUAAACAUGAGGGCAGAAGGGGAGAGUGGAAUUCCAUGUGUAGCGGUGAAAUGCGUAGAUAUAUGGAGGAACACCGGUGGCGAAAGCGGCUCUCUGGUCUGUAACUGACGCUGAGGCUCGAAAGCGUGGGGAGCGAACAGGAUUAGAUACCCAGUAGC